GUAGGUGAACCUGCGGAAGGAUCAUUAUACGUUUAUCCAACGUACCAACCAACGCGAAUUCGUUUUCUGUCUGUGCGCAGCUUUUUGAGGCGAUCAAAAUAUGGUGGGAGCGAAGGCAGCAAUGCUUUUUGUUCUGUUUGAUCGUCGGGCGUGUUUUAUUUUUAGUCUUUAUUGACAAAAGAAGAAAACACGACAAAAGCUGACUGUGCAUGGCAACCAUUUUUAUUCAACAUUUACAAACGCAUUGUAAUCACUUGUACUAAACUUAAAACAUCGUCUUUGCAUGCAGUAAAGAGGGAUUUAUUUCUCUUCUUGCCGCGAGCAUCGAUCGAACAAAGACAUUAAUUGCUGAACAACUCUUAGCAACGGAUAUCUUGGUUCUC
This 383-nucleotide unclassified non-coding RNA is filed under the name rhizosphere metagenome. Its description in RNAcentral is "partial ribosomal RNA internal transcribed spacer region". The record is from RNAcentral.